UGGGAACCCUGUUCUCUGUUCAGUGGUUG
Molecule: non-coding RNA, 29 nt
Filed under: Rattus norvegicus (Norway rat)
Lineage: Eukaryota; Metazoa; Chordata; Mammalia; Rodentia; Muridae
Source: RNAcentral